UUUCGACCUGAGGUCAGGCAAGAACACCCGCUGAACUUAAGCAUAUCAAUAAGCGGAGGAAAAGAAACUAACUAGG
Molecule: ribosomal RNA, 76 nt
Filed under: Trebouxia sp. 20 GS-2016
Lineage: Eukaryota; Viridiplantae; Chlorophyta; Trebouxiophyceae; Trebouxiales; Trebouxiaceae
Description: partial large subunit ribosomal RNA
Rfam family: Eukaryotic large subunit ribosomal RNA
Source: RNAcentral